RNAcentral lists this ribosomal RNA (570 nucleotides) under Capnodiales sp. PSU-ES79. RNAcentral's name for it is "eukaryotic LSU rRNA". The stretch from base 223 to 570 matches the Rfam family "Eukaryotic large subunit ribosomal RNA", at positions 1 to 346 of the family's 3401-position model. The record is from RNAcentral. Lineage: Eukaryota; Fungi; Ascomycota; Dothideomycetes; Capnodiales.
AAUCAUCGAAUCUUUGAACGCACAUUGCGCCCCCUGGUAUUCCGGGGGGCAUGCCUGUUCGAGCGUCAUUUCACCACUCAAGCCUCGCUUGGUAUUGGGCAACGCGGUCCGCCGCGUGCCUCAAAUCGACCGGCUGGGUCUUCUGUCCCCUAAGCGUUGUGGAAACUAUUCGCUAAAGGGUGCUCGGGAGGCUACGCCGUAAAACAAACCCAUUUCUAAGGUUGACCUCGGAUCAGGUAGGGAUACCCGCUGAACUUAAGCAUAUCAAUAAGCGGAGGAAAAGAAACCAACAGGGAUUGCUCUAGUAACGGCGAGUGAAGCAGCAAUAGCUCAAAUUUGAAAUCUGGCGUCUUCGACGUCCGAGUUGUAAUUUGUAGAGGAUGCUUCUGAGUAACCACCGACCUAAGUUCCUUGGAACAGGACGUCAUAGAGGGUGAGAAUCCCGUAUGCGGUCGGAAAGGUGCUCUAUACGUAGCUCCUUCGACGAGUCGAGUUGUUUGGGAAUGCAGCUCUAAAUGGGAGGUAAAUUUCUUCUAAAGCUAAAUAUUGGCCAGAGACCGAUAGCGCACA